RNAcentral lists this unclassified non-coding RNA (332 nucleotides) under soil metagenome. Its description in RNAcentral is "partial contains 5.8S ribosomal RNA, internal transcribed spacer 2, and large subunit ribosomal RNA". The stretch from base 1 to 120 matches the Rfam family "5.8S ribosomal RNA", at positions 35 to 154 of the family's 154-position model. The record is from RNAcentral.
GAUGAAGAACGUAGCGAAAUGCGAUAAGUAAUGUGAAUUGCAGAAUUCAGUGAAUCAUCGAAUCUUUGAACGCACAUUGCGCCCGCUAGUAUUCUGGCGGGCAUGCCUGUUCGAGCGUCAUUUCAACCAUCAAGCCCUGUUUAGGCUUGUGUUGGGGCCCUGCGGUUGCCGCAGCCCCCUAAAUGCAGUGGCGGGCUCGUUGUCACUCCGAGCGCAGUAGCGUAUCUCGCUCUGGGCGUGGCGGCGGGUGCUAGCCGUGAAACACCCACUAAGGCUGACCUCGGAUCAGGUAGGAAUACCCGCUGAACUUAAGCAUAUCAAUAAGCGGAGGA